AUUACAAUUUAUAACUACAUUUGUUCAAACUGUAUUAAUUAUUCAAAUGAAAGAUUACAAAAAGAUAGAUAAUGAGUCUGUAUCAUGUACCUUCCUUUUCCUAGCCUUGGUUAAUUUUGGUCUCUGGUUGUACGAUACUUUCCUUGAAGCCGUUUAUUUUGAUAAUCUUCACUAUACAACACUUUAUUAUGGACAAACAACGACAUUAACUAUAAGACAUUUAUUUGUGCCAAUGGUAAUUUUUUAUCGUUUUAAAUGUUUCCUUUCAUUUUUUGAAUUAUCAGCUUUCACACCUCCGUUUGUAGAUCGGCUUCUUGGUGCUGUUGACAAAAUAAAAAUAAAAGUUUGUUGUUGUCAAACACGACAAAGAUAUGAGGAAAUAUAAAAAUGUGACUUUCUAAAUGGCCGAUAUUUAGGAAAAAAUAAUAAAAACAAAAUUAUCUUGAUUUUAUUCACAAUUUUUCAGUCUUUUUUUUAAAUCUUGAAUUUAUUAUGACGUAACGCCAGGGAGUAUAACAGGAUGUCUUUAUAACAUGGUGUUUGAAUAAACCAGUAAUGUGUUAUUUUUCGUUUGUUUUGUUUUGUUUUGUUUUGUUUUGUGUUGUUUUUGUUUUAUUUUUGGUUAUAAAAAUGAAAUUCUAUAACACUGAAUUAAUCUGUGACAACGAAAAAUAUACAUAUGUGCAAGUAAAAACAUUGGUUUUGAAUACAUGAAUAUCAGCAGUCCUUUGUUUUGUUUUAUUUUGCUAAAUCAAUCCAACAUUUGCAUUAGAAUAGUUUAGUAUCACCCCUAGUAUUUGGUGGGGUUCGUGUUGUCUAUUCUUAAUUUUUCUAUGUUGUGUCAUGUGUACUAUAUUUGUCUGUUUGUCUUUUUUUCAUUUUUAGCCAUGGCGUUGUCAGUUUAUUUUCGAUUUAUGAGUUUAACUGUCCCUCUGCUAUCUUUCGUCCC
This 949-nucleotide long non-coding RNA is filed under the name Mytilus galloprovincialis (Mediterranean mussel). The record is from RNAcentral. Lineage: Eukaryota; Metazoa; Mollusca; Bivalvia; Mytilida; Mytilidae.